CCCCGGUCAGUGGAAAAAGGCACACGCACCUAUGUAGUGAUCUUCCUAGUGCAAAGUCCAGCCUUCCAGUUCCAAACUGCUCACAUUCAGCAAGCUGCUGCUAUAGCAGGAGAUAAACCUCCUAUUGCCCAUUAGCUUGCACAGUCCUCUUUGGGCUAGAAGAUGCUGUGCAAAGGAUAAGAUACGUUGUUAAUACAGCCAGUUUUCCAAGGGUGCUUUAUGAGUGAGGUUAUUUUUAUUCUUCGUUGUUUUUCUAGCUCACAAAAAUGUCAGAUAUCCUCCAGAGUACAAUAGACUUUAGCCAUGCUGCUCCUGCCUGUUUCCAUUCAUCUCCUUAAUAGAAUGAGUGAGCAGUGACCUGUCAGCACUCUGCAAUAUCACCAUCCUUCCUGAACCAUGUGAGUGACAAGGCAGACGCUUUGGGUUUUCCUUCCCAAAAGGAAAGGACUUCAGGAAAAGUGAAUGAAGGCUCCUGGAUGCAUGGGUGGAUGCAAGUCAGUACCUGCAAUCAUCAAAAUCCUGCAAGCAGCACAGGGAGGCAGCUGAUGCCGGCUGGCUGCUGCCAAACAGGUCCGGCCUCUGCAGCUGAGGCUGCUCAUGGUACUUCAGCAGGGCGAUGAAUCAUCCCUCCCCUUUAGUAAAGGUGAUCUCCUGGGAUGCUGUGACCCCCUCCCUGCUCAGAUUUGUCAUCAGGACACCACAGCCCUGGAACCUCAAGCUUGAGGAGCAUCUGGAAAGGAAAUCAUAAAGUUCCUGGGUCUCUGUCUGUGGCUUCAGCUAUGACUUCAAACACCCCCCUCCUGAAAAGCUGAGAGAUGUCAAAGUGCAAUGUUUGCAUUUAUUACAUGAAGUCUACUUGGACCUGUUCAUCCCCCACAUUUCCAUUUCUUUUUUUUUUCUUUUUUUUCUUUCCCCCCAAGGAUAACUGUUAAAGAAAUGAGAAAAUCUUGCUUGAAGUUUUAAUUCUUGCUGCUCCAAUGUCCCCCUCCCCCCCCCCCAUGCUCCCUACAGCAGGUGUUGCAGAGGUGAAAGCAGCACUCCUGUGAAGCAAGACAAGGAACAGCUGAAGUCACCUCCAUCCUUCUCAAGCAUCUCAUAACCCAGAAGCUCCCAUGUCUCUCCCAUCUUGCAGCCUGAAAACACAGGCAGCCUCUGCUUGCUCUGUUGGGCCUGACAAUGAAAGAGAUAGUGGGCACAGUUUCUUGGUGCAAGUAAGAGCAUAGCACCACUGUAGAAACACUAAUUCUAGCUGUGGUGGAAAGAAAAGGAAAAUCAAACAAGGAAGCAAGCACACACACACACACACAGCUCUUUGCAGUGCUGGAGGGUUUGGUUGUGUUUGAGUGUUUUCUCGGCCCCCAGUUCUCCCAGCACAGCCCCAUAGCUGGGUGCCAAGGAGCAGCACGGUGCUGCCAGCUGGAGCCUCACAGGGUGAUGCA
Long non-coding RNA from Lagopus muta (rock ptarmigan), 1439 nucleotides. RefSeq lists it as uncharacterized. NCBI's taxonomy places the organism in Eukaryota, Metazoa, Chordata, Aves, Galliformes, Phasianidae. The transcript is spliced from 4 exons. The record is from RefSeq and is a predicted model, not a curated record.